UGGGGAAUUUUGGACAAUGGGGGCAACCCUGAUCCAGCAAUGCCGCGUGUGUGAAGAAGGCCUUCGGGUUGUAAAGCACUUUUGUCCGGAAAGAAAACGUCGUGGUUAAUACCCGUGGCGGCUGACGGUACCGGAAGAAUAAGCACCGGCUAACUACGUGCCAGCAGCCGCGGUAAUACGUAGGGUGCAAGCGUUAAUCGGAAUUACUGGGCGUAAAGCGUGCGCAGGCGGUCCGCUAAGACAGAUGUGAAAUCCCCGGGCUUAACCUGGGAACUGCAUUUGUGACUGGCGGGCUAGAGUAUGGCAGAGGGGGGUAGAAUUCCACGUGUAGCAGUGAAAUGCGUAGAGAUGUGGAGGAAUACCGAUGGCGAAGGCAGCCCCCUGGGCCAAUACUGACGCUCAUGCACGAAAGCGUGGGGGAGCAAACAGGAUUAGAUACCCUGGUAGUCCACGCCCUAAACGAUGUCAACUAGUUGUUGGGGAUUCAUUUCCUUAGUAACGUAGCUAACGCGUGAAGUUGACCGCCUGGGGAGUACGGUCGCAAGAUUAAAACUUAAAUGAAUUGACGGGGUCAUA
This 576-nucleotide ribosomal RNA is filed under the name uncultured bacterium. RNAcentral's name for it is "partial 16S ribosomal RNA". It matches the Rfam family "Bacterial small subunit ribosomal RNA", at positions 355 to 923 of the family's 1533-position model. The record is from RNAcentral.